UCUGAAUCUGCGUACGGCUCCGCAAACCAGUUGUAAACUAUAGCAAGCAUGCUCGGGAUUUGGCCCUCACGGGUUGGGUUUCGGGUGAUAAGGAUAACCCUGGUAAUUCUGAGGCUAAUACUAGAACGCAAAAACUUGACUGACCGGUUUUACUGGGAGGUUGGGGGGCGUGCAAGUGGGUUUCGCAUAGGAUAACCGGGAAGGGGUGCACGUUUGGACCGCGAUAAAGACAGACUGGUUUCGGCCGGCCUGAGCGGCACUUGCGUUGUGCUUCUGACCUAUCAACUAGAUGGCAGCGUAACGG
RNAcentral lists this ribosomal RNA (304 nucleotides) under Diderma alpinum. Its description in RNAcentral is "bacterial SSU rRNA". It matches the Rfam family "Eukaryotic small subunit ribosomal RNA", at positions 80 to 339 of the family's 1831-position model. Lineage: Eukaryota; Evosea; Eumycetozoa; Physariida; Didymiaceae. The record is from RNAcentral.